This 411-nucleotide ribosomal RNA is filed under the name Verrucomicrobiota bacterium. Its description in RNAcentral is "Verrucomicrobia bacterium partial 16S ribosomal RNA". It matches the Rfam family "Bacterial small subunit ribosomal RNA", at positions 355 to 776 of the family's 1533-position model. The record is from RNAcentral. Lineage: Bacteria; Pseudomonadati; Verrucomicrobiota.
UGGGGAAUAUUGCGCAAUGGGGGAAACCCUGACGCAGCGACGCCGCGUGCGGGAUGAAGGCCUUCGGGUUGUAAACCGCUUUUGAUUGGGAGCAAGCUUUCGGGUGAGUGUACCUUUCGAAUAAGCGCCGGCUAACUACGUGCCAGCAGCCGCGGUAAUACGUAGGGCGCAAGCGUUAUCCGGAAUUAUUGGGCGUAAAGAGCUUGUAGGCGGUUCGUCGCGUCUGGUGUGAAAGCCCAUAGCUUAACGGUGGGUUUGCGCCGGGUACGGGCGGGCUAGAGUGCAGUAGGGGAGACUGGAAUUCCCGGUGUAACGGUGGAAUGUGUAGAUAUCGGGAAGAACACCAAUGGCGAAGGCAGGUCUCUGGGCUGUUACUGACGCUGAGAAGCGAAAGCGUGGGGAGCGAACAGG